CCGUUGUUAUAUAGCUGUUGUCAAAACAAAACGGUUCGUUACUUUUAUACGCCGUGAAACAACUUGGAAUACAGAUUGUAUAAGAGACAACAUGUCAACACAGGCUGUUAAAGAAUUAUCUGUAGCCACACACACUGCUAUGGAUUUUCUUGGUUACUCUAAGGAAAUGAUAAAAUCGAGAGCUGAGAUAGUAAAGCAUUUGUAUUCAAUAUUUAGUAACAAGUUACAAAAUUUGAUUCCAUGGCUUCACUUCGACAGUAUGAUCGCCGGGAGUAUAGGAGACGGGAUUGCAAAACUUUGUGAAAGUGACAUUGAUUUCAUUCUAGUAUUUCGCAAUUUCCUUUGUUUGGACAAUGCUCAGGUAGAAAGUAAACUUUGUAUAAUUCAAACGAUCACAGAGGAUUCUCCGCCGGGUUAUACAAAACUCAAUCCUUUAAAAAUGAAUUCUAAUAUUAUUGCAAAGUUUUUGUUUGAUUUCACCACUGAAUAUGACUUAUGCAGUGGUCAAGUGUUUCUUGAAAGCACAAGCAUGCGUAAUUUAUUUGAAAAAUGUAUAAACACAAGAAGUUCAAAUAUUGCGUAUGAUGGCACAUACAGAGAAUUUCGGAAACAACAAGGACCGUCCGUUCCUUCAACUCUACAUGUUAGAAUACCUUUGAUGCCGCAUAUAAAUAUGUCAUGUGAUACUGAUUUUGUGACAGCACUGCCUUAUAUAUCAUCGUCAGUAUUAGAUCUUGGAGCAAACGUGACAGAUAUUGGCCGCCGCAGUCUGUUUGUCAAGACAUUAUUGAGACAGAGGCUUACGUUGUUCCAGUUGGCGCUACUUGCAGCGAAAAUCAGAAUUACGAAUGGAGAAUUUCUUUUACAACUGCCGAAAGUAUUCUUGUUUCUCAUCUCCAUCCGGCGCUAUUAAAAGUUUACAUUUUAUUUAAAAUGGUUAACAAGUAUUUGAUUAAACCAAAUUGUGAUAUUCUAAGUUCCUACAUAAUAAAGAAUGUUGUUUUCUGGGUGUCAGAACGUAUUGAUACAAGAACGUGUUAUUCUCCUGAAAGAUUCAUAGACUUUCUGCUGCAAGCGCUUUCUUUUCUACUAAACUGUUUACAUUCUAAAUGUCUUCCUAACUAUAUGAUGCAAGAGAGAAAUCUUCUCCUUGGGAAAGGAAAACCAUGUGAUAUUACAAAGCUCAAAUGUAUCAUAUCAAAUCUAUUGGACACGGGUGGCUUUUUCAUUAUCAGGAUAGAGAAACUUAGAGUAAAAAUAUUGUCCGUUGGAAACUGUUUUACAGAUGCUAGACGAUUUUCUGAAAUUAGAGACAAAUUCGAGAUAAUGCUUUUGCGAAUGUAUAUCGACAUGACUACAAAGCUUGCCCCUGAAAAAGCAUUUCAGUCAUCAUUCAUCCAUGAUGCUAUGUUUGAAAUGUUCAAAGAUCCUUUGCUCUUAGAUUUUUUGUUUACAUUGAUGAAUUUUCUGAAUCUAGACAUAAUAUCUUCAAUUACUAACCCACAACAAAUUUGGAAAGCUAUCAACGAUUUUUUGUUUCCAUAAAAAGUUUUUCAAGAAACAAAGGAAACAGGAAAUCAUUUCCAACUGUUAAAGAGAUCAGAUUGCUGUAAACAUAAAAAAUGGAAAAUAAAUGUUUUAUAAUUGCAGACUCUAACAUAAAAAUAAUGAAAUAUACAACAAUGAAUCGAGUAUUGUUUGAUGGACAGCUUUACAUCAGUUUCGCCGAACAAUGUGCUGUCAUUGGCCAUUGUAUUGCAGUAAUGUUAACACAUAACUACAAUUUUAUUAUGCCCCCACUUCGAAGAAGAGGGGGUAUAUUGCUUUGCACUUGUCGGUCCGUCGGUCCGUUGGUCCGUAGACCAAAUGGUUUCCGAGUGAUAACUUAAGAACUCUUAGGCCUAGGAACUUCAAACUUGGUAUGGUGAUUGGUCAUGACAAGUAGAUGACCCCUAUUGAUUUUGGGGUCAAGGGGUCAAAGGUCAAGGUCAAAUUGACCUUGUAAGCAAAAACGGUUUCCGAUAAAAAACUUAAGAACCUUAAGGCCUAGGAACUUCAAACUUGGUAUGUUGAUUGGUCAUGAUCAGUAGAUGACCCCUAUUGAUUUUGGGGUCAAGGGGUCAAAGGUCAAGGUCACAUUGACCUCUUGGGUAAAAACGGUUUCCGAUCAAUAACUAAAGAACCCUUAGGCCUAGGAACUUCAAACUUGGUAUGGUGAUUGGUUAUGACCAGCAGAUGACCCCUAUUAAUUUUGGGGUUAAGGGGUCAAAGGUCAAGGUCACAUUGACCUUGUAGGUAAAAACUGUUUCCGAUCAAUAACUAAAGAACGCUUAGGCCUAGGGACUUCAAACUUGGUAUGGUGAUUGGUCAUGAUCAGUAAAUGACCCCUAUUGAUUUUGGGGUCAAGGGGUCAAAGGUCAAGGUCACAUUGACCUCUUGGGUUAAAACGGUUUCCGAUCAAUAACUAAAGAACCCUUAGGCCUAGGAACUUCAAACUUGGUAUGGUGAUUGGUCAUGACCAGCAGAUGACCCCUAUUGAUUUUGGGGUUAAGGGGUCAAAGGUCAAGGUCACAUUGACCUUGUAGGUAAAAACGGUUUCCGAUCAAUAACUAAAGAACCCUUAGGCCUAGGAACUUCAAACUUGGUAUGGUGAUUGGUCAUGACCAGCAGAUGACCUAUUGGUUUUUGGGUCAAGGGGUCAAAGGUCAAGGUCACAUUGACCUUGUAGGUAAAAACGGUUUCCGAUCAAUUAACUAAAAACUCUUAGGCCUAGGAACUUAACUGCAAACUUUGAAUGAUGAUUGGUCGUGACCAGCAGAUGACCCCUCUUGAGUUUUGGGUCAAGGUGCCAAAGGUCAAAGUCACAUUGACUUUGUAAGUAAAAACGGUUUCUGAUCAAUAACUAAAGAACGCUUAGGCCUAGGAACUUCAAACUUGGUAUGGUGAUUGGUCAUGACCAGCAGAUGACCCCUAUUGAUUUUGGGGUCAAGGGGUCAAAGGUCAAGGUCACAUUGACCUUGUAAGUAAAAACGGUUUCUGAUCAAUAACUAAAGAACGCUUAGGCCUAGAAUCUUCAAACUUGGUAUGAUGAUUGGUAAUUGCCAGCAGAUGACCCCUAACGAUUUUGGGGUCAAGGGGUCCAAGGUCAAGGUCACAUUGACCUUGUAGGUAAAAAUGGUUUCCGAUCAAUAACUAAAGAACGCUUAGGCCUAGGAACUUCAAACUUUGAUGAUUGGUCAUGACCACUAGAUGACCCCUAUUGAUUUUGGGGUCAAGGGGUCAAUGUCAUAUUGACCUUGUACUUAAUGACGGUUUCUGACCAAUAACUCAACAACUCAAGUUGCCUUAGUUGAUAUUUUUAUAUUAAACUAAAAAUGCUUUUGGUAUACACAUUGGAAGGUCUUAUGUAAUAUAACAACUUGGCUGUCAUUAAUGAGGCCUACAUUAUUCAUAAAAUUGAUGCAUAUAUUAUUUGGUAAGAUUUGUAAUAACUUAAAUUGCUGCACACAACCUAUUGGGUCACAAUAAUUAUUACCUUGUGACUAGUCAUGACCAGUAGAUACUAGAUAACCCUUAUUAAUUGUUUGUUCACUGGGUCAGAAGUCAUGCAUACUAACCUGAUCACAUGACUAAUUGGCUGCCGAUAGGGGGCAUACAUGUUUUACAAACAUAUCUUGUUCUAAUUUGAAGAGCUGACAUUUUAUCAAAUGUGACGUUCCGAAACGGUUUUGUUCCGAGUUAUUUCCCAGAUAAUUCCAUAUUAUAAUGGCAUUUUAAAGCACCUGUUUAUUCUGACAAUUGUAAAUAUAUUGGUAAUGAUAAGAACUCUGAUUCAAAAUUCAUUGUUUCCUUUUAUUUCGUGGGAUCUCCCCUUUUGCAGAUUUAUUACUCUUCACUAUGAAAAUAUCGAUCUCAUUAAUUUACUUUGUGCUCUUUUUUAAGAUGACAUGAUAAUGUUAUCGAUCAUGAAAAACGUCAUAUACAGAAACAUUUAUGGAAAGUGCAUAAAGAGACAUUUAUAAUGCUAUAAAAGAUGAUAUGCCAAUCGCAACUACUCGGCCCUUUCCGUCAGUCUUCGGAUAAGGACCUCGAACACAAUAGUAAGAAUACACAGAAAGGAUGCGGUAUUCCGGUCUAACCUACGCUAAGAAACUAAACAUGUUAACAAAUAGUAAUUUAAUGCUGGGAGUUGUUGACAAGUUUAUUUCCAAUAUAUGUAGUUAAAGUCCACCUAAAAUAAGUGAAUUCAUAGGUAAAAAAGCAAACAAUACAAUAUUUAUAUAUUUACUAAUAUGGAUGUAGAAACCGAAAGUACAAAAAACUAACCUGUUGACAUUUAGUUGGAUUUGUUUAAAAUUGAACAUCAAUGGGCAUAUUUAAAUUACAAAUUGUUGUCAGACAUUUUUUCAACCAAAAGAGUACCGGAACAGACAUUAGAUGUCAAAUAUAUACAUUCGUUUUACAUUAUCUUUGUUUCUGUUUACAUCUGUAAACCACGUGGUAGAACUACUUUCAAUCCGUAUUGUUUCCGAGGUUAUUAUAGAUAAUAGCUGAGGCAGUUCUGAAUGGAUGAUAUGCAUAAUAACUUGAAUCACAAAAGAGUUGAGUAAAAACAAAAGGUUCGGAAAUUUUGGUGGAGCAAUACUCUCUCUAAAGUAUGGGAUUAUUUGAGGUAAGCUAAAAACCAUUUGCUCCAAUGCUUGGAAUUAUCUAUGAAUAGUCGGCACAUUAGGGAAAGCUGAAGGUGUCAAGUGCCGUGCGGCAGCUGUAAAAAGUUAGCCACGUACUUCACGUCAGAGAUCUUAUAUCUUAUUUCUCAAUGGUAGGAUACUACGUCAUCGGGCACCUGCUGAAUGCUCCCACUUGGACCAUUUUUUCGUCGACUCAAAGAGAUCACUUCUUUGAUUCUGAAGAAUGGCGUCGUUUGGCAGGAACAAGGUGCCAUGGCAAAGUUUCAACUGACAGGAUCACUUUACAAAAAGGUGCACUUGGCUUGUGUUGGAUCCGAAGGGAUGAUUCAAAAUUAUUGCCAGCAACAAAGCUAGGACUAUAAGACUUUUAAUGGACAGUUUGGAUCCCAAGAAUAAAACUUUGUUUAGAUGUUAAAAAAUGGUGGUGUUUUAUAAAGAAGUCAUUAUACAUUGUUAAGUGACAUACUGGAUUAAGAUUCUGUUGGACUCGUACACAUAUUAGAGUCCUGCAUUAAUUCAAUAAUUGAUGACUUGAAUAUCUUGUUAAUAAUUUAAAACCCAAUGAUUUGCGUGUUUCUUAAACUUGUGAUUUAGAUUUUAAAACAACAAAAUGGUACGUUAAUGAACAUAAAGAAGUCAAUAUAUGUCGGUUGAUUUGAAUAGUUUAUUAAAGAACAACAUGUAAAUCAUUUUUGUCAUGAACUGGUUAAAAAGUCAAUGUACUGCCAUGCCAUGGCACAAAAAGCAUGCAUCACAAUUAUUAACAACUUUGACAAUUUUAAGUAAGAAA
Molecule: long non-coding RNA, 5481 nt
Organism: Ruditapes philippinarum (Manila clam)
Lineage: Eukaryota; Metazoa; Mollusca; Bivalvia; Venerida; Veneridae
Exons: 3
Source: RefSeq, a predicted model, not a curated record